This 943-nucleotide long non-coding RNA is filed under the name Nicotiana benthamiana. RNAcentral describes it as "long non-coding RNA (NBEN_LNC015463)". The record is from RNAcentral. Lineage: Eukaryota; Viridiplantae; Streptophyta; Magnoliopsida; Solanales; Solanaceae.
UUUGUGGAGUGAGUAAAUCAUACAAACUUUAUAUUCUUUAUCAUUGUAAUGUUUGAAGUAGGCUAGUCAUGUUCUUUAAAGUUAAUGUAAUUAUUUCAUAUAGCGAAUUUAGACAGUACAUAAGGAGGAGUUCAAGAAGAAGACCAUCGCCUACUGAGAUAGAGAGGAGAGUUAAUAAAGAGUUUGUUGAUUGGUUCCAAAAGUGGGUAAGUAAUCAUUAGUUAUUAUUUACAUUUGAUUUUAAUGACACUAAGACAAUUUUAUUUUGAUUUAGAUUAUGAAUCCAGACACAAUAGAUACAAUGUCUAUUAAUGACAACAACAACAACAACAACUACCCAGUACAUUUGAUUUUAAUGACACUAAGACAAUUUUAUUUUGAUUUAGAUUAUGAAUCCAGACACAAUAGAUACAAUAUCUAUUGAUCUAAAGUUUCUUGCACGAGGUCCAUCGGCACAUGCAAGAAGUUUUACUGCAUAUAACAUCAAUGGGUCCAAAUUUCGAACUUUGGCCCGAGAAGAAGAUCUACAAACACAGAAUAGUGGAGUUUUCUUAACCUCUAAAACAUCAUGUAUUGCAAGUAGUGUAGACGGAAAUUUAAGGCAAGCAGAGUUACCAUAUUAUGGGAAGAUAGAAGAUAUUAUUGAGAUUAAUUAUAAUGGUCGGUUCAAGGUGGUUCUUUUCAAAUGUAGAUGGGCUGAUACUGCCCGAGAUAGAGGGUAUAAAAAGGAUCGUUGGAAAUUGUGUUAAUUUUGAUAAAUUGAUUCAUACAGGUGAACGUGAAGAACAUGAGCCUUAUAUCGAAGCAUCUCAAGCACAACUAGUGUACUAUGUGGAUGAUGUUGUCAAUAAAGGGUGGAGUGUUGUUGUGCAUCUAAAGCCAAGAGAUCUAUAUGAUAUGGGACAAGUAGUGGAAAAAUGAUGUAUAUGAGAAUGAACCAUAC